CAUCACCCCAUGUUCCAGCACUCUGAACUUGUGACGUUCCCUCGACAGUUUAGUAUCUGUCAUCUCAUAUUGCAGCACUGAGGCCUUCCAAGCUUUUGCAAUUUAUCCCAAAGGCAGAUAAUCUGCCUUGGAGACUGAUAAUGUGCUGUAAAAUAGCCUUCAAUGCAUCCGAACUGGCAGUACUUCAAGCUGUGUACAUAUUCCACAGGUUUUGAGCUGUUGAAUUGCUCCACCCACAUUCCCAUGCUCAC
RNAcentral lists this unclassified non-coding RNA (251 nucleotides) under Hevea brasiliensis (rubber tree). The record is from RNAcentral. Lineage: Eukaryota; Viridiplantae; Streptophyta; Magnoliopsida; Malpighiales; Euphorbiaceae.